GUUUCCGUUUCUCCUCUGGAUCUGACCCGAAGUCCCGGGACCCGAUGCCAUUCUGAAGGUUUAUUAGGGAAUCCUUCAUCUGCAAGACAAGAGAUUUUCCCCACUGUGAUGCAACCCUGGAGCCUGCUGUACAAAAGGUUUUUUAGGCAGUGGAUACUGAAACUCUGUGCUGUGAAGGGCCCAUGCAGAAGGUGUUCCCUUCAUCCACGAAACCUAUGUGUGAAUCCAGAGCUGAGAAUUCUCUCCUCCUCGUGUGACAGAGAGGCUGUGGCACCCUGUGACAGCCCCUGGACCUGCUGCCCACCAUGAGGGGAGAAGAUGGGUCUGAGGGAGACACCGGUGGAGGUCCCAGCCCUACCUGGCCGUGGGGUCUCACCUGGUCCAGCAGCAUCACGGAGGAUUUGAUGAUCUCCCGCCACUUCUGCAGCUCCGAGUCGUGGUACUUCUGCUGGGACUCCAGUAACUGGGCCCACUCUGUCUGAGACUGGGGCAACCUGGCAGCACAACACGGGCAAGAGUCACCCUGGGCAACCUGCAGUGGGUGUAACCAGCUUCUGGCUAAGCUUUUCACCCCAAAGGGGCACGUUUUCUUGAGCAAAAGUGCAUUUAAAAUGCUUGGAAUUUCAAUCAAUUGGAUUCCGUGGUUUGCUUUUUCUAGACAUGCUGUCAGUCUUUAUUCAUCCCAUGUAAUUUGUUCAGGACUUUCUCUUUAUUUUGAAUUAAAGCUGCACUG
Long non-coding RNA from Pipra filicauda (Wire-tailed manakin), 733 nucleotides. RefSeq lists it as uncharacterized. Lineage: Eukaryota; Metazoa; Chordata; Aves; Passeriformes; Pipridae. The transcript has 4 exons. The record is from RefSeq and is a predicted model, not a curated record.